GUGAAUGAUUUUGAGUCAAAAUCGAUUAGUUACAUUUGUUUUUUAUAAGAAGUAACGGGAUAACUUAAAACGAAUAUAGCACAUACUCAUAUGGAUUACUUUUUUUUUUGGAAUUUAUUUAUUCAUUUAUUUGAAUCAUGCUUCCAUCUGUCAUCCGGGUGUCUCACUGAUGAAAACACCAGUUUGAAGCUACAUCAGGCAUCCAUUCACUGCAGAGGAUUCAUUGCUGAGCAAGUGAUGGAAUGCUAAUUUCCUCCAAAUUAGUUCUGAUAAAGAAACAAACUCAUCUACAUCUCGGAUGACCUGAGGUCUGGUCGGAAAAAAAGCAGGAAUGCCAUUUCUCACCACUCAUUUGGAGAGGCUUCCUCAAGGACUCUUCAGGGAGUCAUACCACUCUCAUGACCUACCAUGACUGUUCUUACUUUCUUUGGACCUGAUUGUUUCUCAAGAAAUAUAUCAGUUGUUUGGCUACUGCAUCCUGCCUCUCAGACAUAAAACUUUUGUUUAUUUUUCUCAAUAAUAAAGACUAGUGCACUCUUUAAAUGACUUUUAAAGAUGUAUGUAGUUAAUGAGUUGAUGAAAUAUUUACCUAUAGGUUAUGCAGCUGGUCAUAUUAUUAUAUCCAGAUAUUAUAAAUGUUUCUAAUUAUGUCAUACUUAGUCUAGAACUCUAGAAAGAGACAUUAUAAUUGAGACAUCAGAGUUUGCAAUGUAACUUAAUAUCAUUGUUUUAAUGCAAAACCUGCUGCAGAAAAUUUGUUUGUGUAAAUGACUUGAAAUAUCAGGUCUGUAUCUCAUAGUCCGCAAAUCUACUGGAUCUGCUUUUGCCUAAAGAGUACAGAACUCCAGAACCAGUGAAGGCCUCUUAGCAGUCAUAGAAAAGUAUUUUGAAAUUGAGCACAGGCUGUGGAAGAAAAAAACAGGCUUUAGGAAGAAGAGAUUCUGAAUUUUUCACUGUGUGAGUUAUGAGUGUGGAUGAAAGAUGGGUAUAGGUGAUGAUGUCGCAUCCCACAUAUGGAGGUCGGUCACGAGUCACUGGUGCCUGUGCUGUUACUACUUGGGUCAAAUGCCAGACAGUGUGUCAUGCAUAAUGAUUCUAGUGCAUGAUGGAUAGUAACCCUCACUUACAUCUAAAGUGAAAUUGUCCAUGAUAAACUGCAGUUAAAUAUGUUUUUACGCUAGCCAUUUGUGGACUCACUGGAAACCAACGAUAUUCACCAUAUAUCAUAAGUACAAUAAAUUGUGCUUGGCCAGGCCUCUAUAGAUUUUGUUUUUGAGGCAUCUGUGUAUGGGGAUGCAGGGAAAUGUUCUUUAUGUCUCUCUUUGUGUGUCUGCAUCUUGUUUUAAUCUGUAUUUUUGCCAUUAUUUUUUACCUG
This is a long non-coding RNA of Cyprinus carpio carpio, 1375 nucleotides long. The record is from Ensembl. NCBI's taxonomy places the organism in Eukaryota, Metazoa, Chordata, Actinopteri, Cypriniformes, Cyprinidae.